AGAAGUAACGCCAACCCUGGGGACCGGGCUCCUGUCGCCGUCCAGCGUCACUUAAAGAUCCUGUCGGGCUCCGUUGACAUAGGAAGCUUCGCCCAUUGACGAUGCUGGAGAUACAGCGCGCUUAAUCCCGCGGGGAGGGAGAGUGGGCAGACACCGAAAGGGUUAACGGAAGGGAAAUUUCUGGAACCUUCUAUUCUGCGGCGCUCCGCAGCAAGCGGAAGGCUGAAGACUGCGCAGAUGGUGCACGGACAGAGCUCUUCGGUCCAGUUCGUCUCUCCCACUGACCAACAAUGAAGAUGGCAGCUCUGCCUGGAAGUUCUGACGACACAACCAGAUCUGAGCUUGGUCCUUCUGGCUGAGGAAGUCAUCUGAUUAUGCAGUGGAGUGGCCUCAAAUCCACCGAAUGAAGCUGCACCUACCCUACCUUUCACGCGGCCUCUGAUAGAGAGGGCAUUACAAGGUAACGAUUGGCUCAGAUUGCAAGUUAGGGCACAUUUGUCCAUACCUGACCCAUGCAACACCACACAGUAACAGAACUGCACAACAAACAGUUACCUGCUCCCCCAGGCUGAAGAAGGUUUUUUUUGAAACCUUAGAAGUUCACUCAUUUCAAUUCCCCUUACAGGUCACCACUUGUUCUGUCACACCCCUCUGUCCUGCACCUGGCCCUGGGUCUGACUCACUCCUUGACUGUGGGGAUGAUGCAUGGAGCCGCCUCUCUGCCUCGCAUUUUCUGCGUAUCAAAUGGGAAUAAUUCCUCCAGGAGAGACCAGGGCUUGAGGCACCAUGAGUUUCGUUCCUGGAGGUGGAAACGGAGGAGAGAAUUUAUGAUGUACACAAGGUCAUACAGAGGUCUGUUUUGCUUACUGUGGAAGCCCAAGAAGUGCCUUAAUAUAUAAGGUGCAGGUUGUGAGAAGUAAGAGGCCAACUAGGUCUGUGACGUCUAGGCUUGCCUUGCUCCUGCAGACUACGAAAGAAGUUCCUUUACAUGGGGAAGUCAGGGAUUUCUUCCCUUUUUGCCUUUAUCUUGUGCAGAUGUAAAGCAGUAUGAAGUUUGCGAAAUGAUGUGAGAUGGUACUCUGAAAGAAGCUAAGUACAGAACAGUACUACUACUAAAAUGUGUUUGAAAAGUAGGAAAGAAUCAGAAUGGAAAUUUUGUACCCUCUCUCCUGCUAUUUCUUGAAAACUCUGGAACAUUUUGAUGAAGCCAGCUAUAGCCGAUAGUAUUUGCAUAUCUCUGCACAUACAUGUGUGCAUCACCCACACAAACAUUCAGCACACCUAGCACAUGCUGGGGAAAAACACUGUUUUAUAGCAAGUUUUAAAUUUUUUUUUGCAUGCAUGUGUGUUAGCAGUUGAGCACUGUUUAUUACAGCAUCAUGAACUGC
Long non-coding RNA from Dromaius novaehollandiae (emu), 1388 nucleotides. RefSeq lists it as uncharacterized. Lineage: Eukaryota; Metazoa; Chordata; Aves; Casuariiformes; Dromaiidae. The transcript has 3 exons. The record is from RefSeq and is a predicted model, not a curated record.